RNAcentral lists this ribosomal RNA (152 nucleotides) under uncultured eukaryote. RNAcentral's name for it is "partial small subunit ribosomal RNA". It matches the Rfam family "Eukaryotic small subunit ribosomal RNA", at positions 1662 to 1828 of the family's 1831-position model. The record is from RNAcentral.
GUACACACCGCCCGUCGCUGCUACCGAUUGCAUGGUCAAGUGAGUGUUGUGGAGUUGGGGCGUUGAGCCUUGAAAUAAGCAAUCCAAACUUGGGUAUGUAGAGGAAGCAAAAGUCGUAACAAGGUCUCCGUAGGUAACCUGCAGAAGGAUCA